GACGCGCCUGACGCUUUCCCGGUGGUGGGCAGCGGGGCCGCGCAUCCUUCCCUCCGCUUGAGAGGCGACUGCAGAGGAGGCAGAUGCCGACUGAGAUCCGCUGCCUGUGGAUUGUCUCUCCGAAUAGCACCGCGUACGUUAUCGCCCCCCCCAUCCCCCGCCCCCAAACACCCACCCCCGGUAUGACUGCGUGGAUCAAGCCGAGAGGGGUCGCGAAGGGGGGGUCGUUCGAAUCUUUUUAGGCUUUUUUGGGCGUCAGAUCUGGAGGUCCCCUGGACUUGGAAUACCGGAAAAAAAGCUGCGACUUGGCUGCUGCACCUCGUCUCGUUGCUUUGGAAUAUACACGCACCAAACCAUGGAGAUUAUAUGACACGGAUUUUUUUUUUCUAACAACCGACGCAACGACGGUGGCCCCUUUUCUGCUCUUUUGUUUUUCUUUCCUUUCCCCUUCCGUGUUGAUCUUUUGUGUGUGUGUGUGUGUGUGUGUGUGUGUGCUUUCCUUUCGACUCAUGUUUACUUUAUGAUUUAGCGCCCCGAUUCCUCGUUUGGCUUUGUUUCCUUUUCAUUUCCUCCUGAUCAUUAUUGAUGUUAUUCUACUUAUGGGAUGCCGGCCAAGAACAUUAGCGCGGAAAAGAUUCCGGAGCUGCAUUCGGAAUGAAUGAAUGAGUGAUCGUCUGUCUCGCUCUUCGCACCUGAGACGUGCCAUGGAUGAGAAACUUCAUUUGGAUCCGCGGAACCCAUCGGGGAUGAGUCGUUACGUCAAAUAACUACUUCUGACAACGAUCAGGACGAAUGUCAUAGGAUGAACACUGCUGGUGGGGCGUAUCUGUCUGGGCUGUCCUCUCUCCUGGCUGCGCUCGGGGCGCUGGCUGCCGUGUCCGCCCUGGCUCUGGCUCCUCUGUCCGCCCUGGCCCAUGUGGCCUCCGGGGCCGCCGAUGUCAUCCCCGGCACCGGGGUAGCGGGACCCCUAGCCGUCUCGACCGUCUCCACGCCGUGCUCCAGCUUAGUCGCCGGGGUGCUCUAUGGCUCUUUCUCCCUAAGGGAGCUUUUUCCCUCCAGGGCCCCGGGGUGUUCCUGGUCCCUGGAAAACCCGGAUCCCACCAAGUAUUCCCUCUACCUCCGCUUCAACCGCCACCCUGCCGUCUGCCGGACGCACUCCCCCAUGCUGCUCUCCCUGGAUCACCAUUUGGCCAAUCAAAGUUGUCCGCUUCACUUCGAGGAGGCCUCGGCUCGGGAUCGGGAAGUGGUCCAUCUCUGUGGGAGACAAUCCGAGGCGGAUGCUCCUUACUCCUUCCUGCAGUUCGAUAAGAACUUUGUCCAACUAUGUCUAAGCAGAUAUCCGUCCGCAGAGGAACCUCAGGUAUCCAAGGAUUUACUGGAGAUGAGGCUGGUGGAGGUGUUACUCAUCAACAACGAGAACUCGAGUCAGUUCACCUGCGGCGUGCUCUGCCGGUGGUUUGAGGAAUGCUUACGAACGGGCGAGCGGAAGGGAGACGACGUCGCCACGCGGGACGGUUGCGCAUUGACGCAAACGGGCUGCAUAUGUCCCAAUCACAACAUCGCGCCACCUUCCGUGCCGCUCGUACCCGAGACGCCUCAUGGCUUCCGCAACGGCUCGACGCUUCCGGAUGGGUGCUGCGUGACGGAGCUGCAUUCCAACGAUGCCAUCGCCAUUGCGCCGAGAGACGUUCGACAAGACCCAUAUGACGAUGACUUGAAGGUGAAAACGCAAAGACCAAGAUCAGCUGACCAGCCAGGUGUGUUUCAGGCACAAACAGGUGACCCUGCAGCGGAGGAAUGGUCUCAAUGGAGCAUGUGCUCUCUGACCUGUGGACACGGCUGGCAAGUGAGGACGCGCUCGUGCGUUUCGUCUCCGUACGGCACGCUGUGCAGUGGCGCCCUGAGAGAAACCCGCAUGUGCAACAAUACGGCUUCCUGUCCAGGUGAAACCGGGAUAAUAAGCUCAGUGCAUGGACUGUGGCACGAGUGGUCCUCAUGGAGUCUGUGCUCUGUGAGUUGUGGGCGGGGCUCCAGGACUCGAACCCGGAAGUGCGUGAACGAAGGUGGGGCCGCCGUGCCUUGCGGAUGGCCCGAGAGGCAGACCAAACUCUGCAACAUAGCAGUGUGUCCUGUGGAGGGCAAGUGGUUGGAGUGGGGCCCGUGGUCAAGAUGCAGCGUUUCCUGUAACACGGGCACCCAGCAGAGGCAGAGACGCUGCAGCGCAUCGGUGCACGGGUGGGCUGAGUGUAAGGGCCCCCAUCAAGAGAGCAGAGAGUGCACCAACCCUUCAUGCACCGGCGGGGGUAACUGGGGCAGCUGGAACCACUGGAGCCUUUGCAGCAAGACAUGCGACUCGGGAUGGCAGCGGCGCUCCAGGAUGUGCGAGGGCAACGGGCAACAAGGGUACCCGUGUGAGGGCUCGGCAGAGGAGGUCCGGUCUUGUAACGAAAAGAAGUGCCCCGCGCCCCACGAGAUAUGCCAAGACGAGAACCUCCUCACCAUGUCAUGGAAAAGAGCCUCGGCCGGAGAAACGGUUUACAACAAGUGUCCAACAAAUGCUACUGGAUCUGCUAGUCGUCGUUGUAUGCUGGACAAUAAUGGAGUUGCUUUCUGGGGUCCUCCGAGCUUCGCCAGAUGCAUCUCAGUUGAAUAUAGAUAUUUGCAUAUAUCUUUACGAGAGCAUCUCGCGAAGGGUCAGAGGACCCUGGCUGGUGAGGGCAUGUCUCAGAUCGUAAGAAGUCUCCUGGAGCUCUUGCAGAGGAGGAGCUACCACAGUGGCGACCUUCUCUUUUCCACGGAGAUCUUGCGAAAUGUGACGGACACCUUCAAAAGAGCAACCUACAUCCCAGCUCCUGACGACGUGCAGAAAUUCUUCCAGAUAAUCAGCCAUAUGUUGGACAUGGAAAAUUUGGACAAGUGGGAAGACGUACACCAGGUCGCCCCUGGCGCCGCGUUGCUGAUGAGAAUUUUAGAAGAUUUUAUUCAUCUCAUUGGUGAAGCCCAAAAGCCUUUCCAGAGUUUUUUAGUGGUUACCAACAACCUGAUGAUAACCAUCCAGCGAGAACCCGUGUCAGCGGUUUCCAGUGAUAUUAACUUCCCCAUGAAGGGCCGGAGGGGGAUGAAGGACUGGGCCAGAACAGCAGAGGACAAGCUCUACAUCCCCAAGGAGGUCUUUACUGUCCCAAAUGAAGAGGCGGAGCCAGAUUCCGAGGCAACCGUGUAUUAUGUCAUUGGAGCCAUCUUGUACAGGACAUUGGGCAAUAUUUUACCGGCACCAAACCAACCUGCGGUGAUCAACUCCAAGAUCCUCACGGUGGCGAUACGACCGGAAUUGACGCCGAGCGAUCCCGUGGUGGUGGUGGAGCUUGCGACUCUUUUCAACGGUACAUCCGAUGCCCAGUGUGUCGUGUGGGACUACGUCGACUCGGAAGCUGGCGUUGAAAACUGGGGCACAGAAGGCUGCCAAACGCUCACAUCAACCACUGUCCAAACCAAAUGCCUGUGCAGCAGGAUAUCCACCUACGCUGUGUUAGCGCAGCAAGCUAAAGAGCCGGAAAUGGGUCCCACUGGCAUGCCCUCGGUGCCCCUGAUGGUGGGCUGCGGGGUCUCCUGCUCUGCUCUGCUCAUCCUGCUUCUUAUCUACGCUGCCUUCUGGAGGUAUAUCCGCUCCGAGAGGUCCAUCAUCUUGGUGAAUUUCUGCCUUUCCAUCCUGGCCUCCAAUUUAUUGAUUUUGGUGGGACAAUCGCAAACGCUUAGCAAGGGCCUAUGUACCGUGACGGCUGCCUUUCUUCAUUUCUUCUUCUUGGCCUCUUUCUGCUGGGUGCUGACGGAAGCUUGGCAGUCCUACCUGGCGGUCAUCGGCAAAAUGAGGUCACGACUCAUUCGCAAGCGAUUUCUGUGCCUCGGCUGGGGUCUUCCAGCCUUAGUUGUAGCGGUGUCAGUCGGGUUCACCAGAGCGAGAGGCUACGGCACCGCCAGCUAUUGCUGGCUAUCCCUUGAGGGGGGGUUGCUUUAUGCCUUUGUUGGACCUGCUGCUGUCAUAGUGUUGGUGAAUAUGCUCAUUGGAAUCGUGGUGUUUAACAAGCUCAUGUCUCGAGACGGCAUCUCCGACAAGUCAAAAAAGCAGCGAGCGGGUGUCCCGGUGGAGGCGCGUAGCCGACUUCUACUGAAAUGCUCCAAGUGCGGCGUGAUCUCGAGCACCGCUCUCUCCAGCUCGACUGCCAGCAGCGCCAUGGCAUCUCUGUGGAGCUCCUGUGUGGUCCUUCCGUUGCUGGCCCUCACUUGGAUGUCAGCGGUGUUGGCCAUAACCGAUCGCCGCUCCACACUUUUCCAGAUCCUCUUUGCCGUCUUCGACUCGGUCCAAGGUUUCGUGAUCAUCACCGUGCACUGCGCCAUGCGCAGAGAGGUGCAAGACGCGAUGCGCUGUCGCAUGGGCGGCUGUAAAGACGACAGCGAGAACUCCCCCGACUCCUGCAAGAACGGACAGGUGCAGAUCAUGCAUCAGAAGGGUCCAAACGUGGCCCAUUACGGCACAGGCCAGUGCGUGAGCGGGUGCCGCCCACAGUCGGUCCUGCCGGCGUGCCAGCAGCAGGCCUGUUCCCGCAGUCUGCCGCGCAACCACGGCGGGCUCGACCGCGGACACGUUCUCAGCUAUCUGCAUGAGCAAAGCGCCGUGCCCAACGACGCCUGCAAUUGCAACCACAUUGCCGGCCAAACAACCGAUUUUGAGAAGGACGUGGACUUGGCGUGCCAAACAGAAAGAGGACACCCAUUCAUUUUCAAGGAGGUGAACACCUGCAACCCAGCCACCAUCACGGGCACCUUGUCCCGGAUAUCCCUGGAUGAUGACGAUGAUCCCAAACUCGCCGCCCAUCAGGACGGGGGAGUCGGGGUGAACUUCAGCUCCCUCCCCGGGAACAUCCCCCCUCCCAACCUUGUUGUGCAGGUUCCGCAGCUCGGAGGGCUCAACGAGCUGAGCGAGAUCUCAUUGAAGAAGGAGAUGAAUGUCGACCAGCAGAGACAACAGGCGCAGCAGCGCUGCGGCGCUCCCAUCUACUUGUGCACCGACGGCGGCCUGGGCUGGGCCAGACCGCCCGGGUCCUCCAACACCUCCCAGGACGGAAGCGCCGGGAGCGGGGGCAGUGUCGGAGAGGGAGACUACAUGGUCUUACCUCGACGGACGGUCGCUAUCAAACCUCCGGCGCCGUCCUCCCAAGGAGGAGCUCUGGGACUGGGAGGCGAAGACAAGCCUCUCAACAUCGCGGCGGAGGACCCCCCGUUCCCUCCUCCCCCGUCUCCCUUGACCCUCCAUCCUGCCGAGAGCGAGGCCUACCCGGCUGAUUUUGUGCCGCCCGGUGUGGGCGACAUGAACAUCAACGUGAACCUGAACCGUUCUUACGGGACAAUCAAAACGCUGCCCCACGGACACGGCCACCUGAUGGCCCCGGGCGGUCUCGUCCACCCCCACGGGGUGCGCAUGCAUCCUCACGGGCAUUCACUCCAGCUCAAGCCAGGCCAGAGGCCUUCGGUCAGACAAAUUCUGACGGCGGGGACCACGGCGGAUAGAACCAGAACCCUGCCGCGCAACCUGGGCAGCAACAAUGCCAACGUGAGCCUGUCGGCGGGAUCCCUCGAGAGGAAAAGAGUACGAUACUCUGAGCUGGACUUUGAGAAAGUGAUGCACACUCGCAAAAGACACUCUGAGCUGUACCAUGAGCUCAACCACUCCUCCAAGUUCCACACCAUAGACAGGUAUAGCAGGGACCCAGCCAUGUCCACGUUCAAGUUUGAGUGUAGCCAGACAGGCUGCAGAUCCAUGGGCAACCAAGUCAACAAAGGUAAAGUUGUACCCACUCACCCUCUCACUCCUCUCAUAGCCCUUUUCCACCCCAGAAAACUUGGUGCUCGUUCGGCGCCAGGGCCACUAAUGUGCUUAGUUGCUGCUGAACAAGUUCUGCAUUCUUUUCCUUGCCUUGCUUGCUUUGUGCCACUUGUAGUUUCCUCUCAAAAAAAUACCUUCUGGUGCUUUUAGUUCUGUCUUUGUCGUACAUGUUAUUAUUAGCAUUUUUUUUCAAUUGUAUUCAAAGAAGCAAGGGCCAAUUACCAGUUUGACGGUUCACCGUGGUUUUAAAAAGGUCAAGGUUUCAGUAGCCACGAAUACCGUCUGUCACCAAUAAUGAGCUCUUUUCUUGUUUGAGGGGACUUUGACGCACGGCGCAAACUGAUUGGCUCCUUGCAGAGUUGAGCAAACAAGCCUUCUCUUUGAAAUGAAUAGCCUCCAAUUAACUUCUUUGAGUUAGCAUUCUCUGUGAGCAGAGAAGGGAGGGGUGAGCAGUUAUUCACGGACAAUGAGUGGGGCCGAAGGAGCUUGGAUGACAGUAGGAAGGACGCCUUUUGACUAAUAAUGUUCAUUGUCCUGAAAUAUAAAGAACAUGUUUUUGAAAAAAAAAUAAUAAUAAUCGACGGUGCCAGCGCGUAAUUGUUAACCCCGAGGACAACAUGAGGAGCCCACUAAAAAUAGCCCGCCAGUGACACUGUGACUCGGUAAGAAGAAUUAGAAGAGACGAUUGUUAAUAUCUUUGAUUGAUUUAUCAGGUUUACACAUUUCAUAUUGGACCACACAUUCUAUAUCACGUUCACAACUAAAAUAGAUUGUGUUCAAUGAGGAGGAGGAAAAAUGCAUUUUUUUAAUGUACCCCACCAUUGCAAAAAGGAUGCAUUUUAACGCUGUCAUUUUAAUACGGUGACCAUAGCGUCAGAAAGCAUCGUUGUAUCGAGAUUCACCAAAAGUUUAGGUUCUCUAAACUAAUGCCAUCUUCCACGCUUUAUUUUUAAAGUUGUACAACAAGUCCAAGAUUGCGCGCUAGCUCAUUUCCAUGAUCAUUGAUCAUUUGGACCUUGACGAGGGCUUUUGAGUGACGGGCAGAGAGAGAAAGAGUGGGAGAGAAGCGAUGAUGUCAACAAAGCAAAAGCGAGCCGUUCACCCGCCAGUGGCAAGAGCAAUGCUGUUUGUGUAAAAGCAGAGUUGCGAGUGACUUUGAUUUCCUCCUUUUCUCUCAUUUCUCCCUUGUUUUUUUCUCUCUCUCUCUGUCGGUGUCUCUGGUCGCCGCUUCGUGCAUGCCUCCUCCCUUUUCACUGCCGCAGAGGGAAAAGCGAUGGAGCAUUUCGUCUGCUGGAGGUGAAAAGAACUCAUCCAGUGACAAGUCAACCCCCGAGGACAGAAGCUCGUGGGACAGUUUUAAGACCAUGACCCCUGAGCUGACCAUCAUGCCAGGGGAGCAGAAAGACCGCAUGGAGCUA
Molecule: RNA transcript, 7299 nt
Organism: Hippocampus zosterae (dwarf seahorse)
Lineage: Eukaryota; Metazoa; Chordata; Actinopteri; Syngnathiformes; Syngnathidae
Gene: adgrb2
Gene name: adhesion G protein-coupled receptor B2
Exons: 36
Source: RefSeq, a predicted model, not a curated record